CGCGAAAACUUUGCAAUAAGCGAAAGCUUGACAGGGCUAUCCCGAGUGCCAUCCGCUGAGGAAGGCUUUUACCCAGUCUAGAACGCUGGGGGAAUAAGGAGAGGGCAAGUCUGGUGUCAGCCGCCGCGGUAAUACCAGCUCUCCGAGUGGUGUGGAUGUUUAUUGGGCCUAAAGCAUCCGUAGCUGGCUAAGUUAGUCCCUUGUUAAAUCCACCGAAUUAAUCGUUGGAUUGCGGGGGAUACUGCUUGGCUAGGGGACGAGAGAGGCAGACGGUAUUUUCGGGGUAGGGGUGAAAUCCUAUAAUCCCGGGAAGACCACCAGUGGCGAAGGCUGUCUGCUAGAACGCGCCCGACGGUGAGGGAUGAAAGCUGGGGGAGCGAACCGGAUUAGAUACCCGGGUAGUCCCAGCUGUAAACGAUGCAGGCUAGGUGUUUGGACGGCCACGUGCCGUUCUAGUGCCGCAGGGAAGCUGUUAAGCCUGCCGCCUGGGGAGUACGAUCGCAAGAUUGAAACUUAAAGGAAUUGGCGGGGGAGCAC
RNAcentral lists this ribosomal RNA (537 nucleotides) under uncultured archaeon. Its description in RNAcentral is "bacterial SSU rRNA". It matches the Rfam family "Archaeal small subunit ribosomal RNA", at positions 340 to 879 of the family's 1478-position model. The record is from RNAcentral.